Molecule: long non-coding RNA, 455 nt
Organism: Acanthopagrus latus (yellowfin seabream)
Lineage: Eukaryota; Metazoa; Chordata; Actinopteri; Spariformes; Sparidae
Exons: 3
Source: RefSeq, a predicted model, not a curated record
CAUCCUGAGGGAUUUUACGUUGUGCAAAUUCACAGCUCAGAGUAGAAAAGAGUGAAAAAACUCUCUAUAAAAAAAACUCAGAGAAUCAUCAAAACAACCUUUUAUCUCAGAAUAAGUUAAAUCCCAGUGUUAGUCACACACUUUGAGCCUUUCGUGGAGUCAUCUGAUGACGCGUGGAGCAGAGCGAUGAGUGGUCACUGAGUGAAGGUUGAAUAUGACGAAGGCUCUGACCUCGCUGGGACGGCGUGUCUGAAGGUCCCACACGUCGAGUAUUAUUAAACUCGAUAAGAACUUCCAUUGAAGUAACGUCAGGACAUCACAACACAAUCAGAUCACUCCCAUGCUGCAGGACAGCAGGGGACAGGCAAUCAGCGCUCAAUCUCUGGGUAUCAGCAACAAGAAGAAGAAGAAAAAAAUCAGAAGAAGCGGUUUAUACAGUCGGCGGGAGACAGAAG